GUGCUGGCUUGGGCAGCACAUAUACUAAAAUUGGAAUGAUACAGAGGAGAUUAGCCUGGCCCCUGUGCAAGGAUGACACAUAAAUUCAUGAAGCAGAUUAUAUUAAA
This 107-nucleotide small nuclear RNA is filed under the name Castor canadensis (American beaver). Lineage: Eukaryota; Metazoa; Chordata; Mammalia; Rodentia; Castoridae. The record is from RNAcentral.